CAACCAGCCUGGAGUCCCGCCCCUACCUCAGCCCCGCAUCCAGUCCGGGAGUGCCGCCCCCGCUCCGAGCCCUGCGUCCAGUCCCCGAGUCCCGCCUCCGCACAGAGCCCCGCGUACAGUUCCCGAGCCCCGCGCCGCCUUGGAGACACACGCGCUCUUUACUUCUCUCUUCUCCAGCAACCAGAGGUCGCGUCCUCCUGGCUCCACCAGUGUGUAUCCCUAAGAGCUGGAAGACAGACUGACCUGCAGAAGGAGCAAAAUUGAUGAAUCAUCUGACCGAAGAUGGCUUGCUGCUUGACAUUCUUUGUUGAACCAGGAAGCAGACAGGUACUCUACUUGCUUCUUGCUCAGAUUAUGGUCAUUUUAUAUAGUCUAUUGUUCUCUGUACAGAUUUUCAAACUUUUAUUUAUACAUGCUAAGCAUAAUGCUUUUGAACUGUGGUGUU
Capra hircus (goat) is the source of this 445-nucleotide long non-coding RNA. RefSeq lists it as uncharacterized. The record is from RefSeq and is a predicted model, not a curated record. Lineage: Eukaryota; Metazoa; Chordata; Mammalia; Artiodactyla; Bovidae. The transcript has 3 exons.